Molecule: transfer RNA, 68 nt
Filed under: Plestiodon capito
Lineage: Eukaryota; Metazoa; Chordata; Lepidosauria; Squamata; Scincidae
Description: tRNA-Glu
Rfam family: tRNA
About the family: Transfer RNA (tRNA) molecules are approximately 80 nucleotides in length.
Source: RNAcentral
GUUUUUGUAGUUGAAAACAACGGUGGUUUUUCGUAUCAUAGGUCCCGGUUUGAGCCCGGGCAAAAACU